RNAcentral lists this ribosomal RNA (253 nucleotides) under uncultured bacterium. Its description in RNAcentral is "partial 16S ribosomal RNA". It matches the Rfam family "Bacterial small subunit ribosomal RNA", at positions 524 to 776 of the family's 1533-position model. The record is from RNAcentral.
UACAGAGGUCUCGAGCGUUGUUCGGAUUCAUUGGGCGUAAAGGGUGCGUAGGUGGCGCUGUAAGUCGGGUGUGAAAUCCUGGGGCUUAACCCCGGAACUGCAUUCGAUACUGCAGUGCUUGAGGACUGGAGAGGAGACUGGAAUUCACGGUGUAGCAGUGAAAUGCGUAGAUAUCGUGAGGAAGACCAGUGGCGAAGGCGGGUCUCUGGACAGUUCCUGACACUGAGGCACGAAGGCCAGGGGAGCAAACGGG